UUGCGGGCGACGUGGGCGGUUCGCUGCCSGCGACGUUGUGAGAAGUCCACUGAACCUUAUCAUUUAGAGGAAGGAGAAGUCGUAACAAGGUUUCCGUAGGUGAACCUGCGGAAGGAUCAUUG
This 122-nucleotide ribosomal RNA is filed under the name Lonchocarpus haberi. RNAcentral describes it as "partial 18S ribosomal RNA". It matches the Rfam family "Eukaryotic small subunit ribosomal RNA". Lineage: Eukaryota; Viridiplantae; Streptophyta; Magnoliopsida; Fabales; Fabaceae. The record is from RNAcentral.